RNAcentral lists this ribosomal RNA (253 nucleotides) under uncultured bacterium. Its description in RNAcentral is "partial 16S ribosomal RNA". It matches the Rfam family "Bacterial small subunit ribosomal RNA", at positions 524 to 776 of the family's 1533-position model. The record is from RNAcentral.
UACGUAGGGGGCAAGCGUUGUCCGGAAUUAUUGGGCGUAAAGAGCGCGUAGGCGGUCCGAUAAGUCGGCUGUGAAAGUCAGGGGCUCAACCCUUGAAAGCCGGCCGAUACUGUCGGACUAGAGUCCGGAAGAGGCAAGUGGAAUUCCCGGUGUAGCGGUGAAAUGCGCAGAUAUCGGGAGGAACACCAAUGGCGAAGGCAGCUUGCUGGGACGGUACUGACGCUGAGGCGCGAAAGCAUGGGGAGCGAACAGG